RNAcentral lists this long non-coding RNA (184 nucleotides) under Mustela putorius furo (domestic ferret). RNAcentral's name for it is "lncRNA (ENSMPUG00000030161.1)". Lineage: Eukaryota; Metazoa; Chordata; Mammalia; Carnivora; Mustelidae. The record is from RNAcentral.
UGUAUGCUCCUAACAGAGCAGGUGGCAAUGCUGGUGACAAAGCAUUUGCAAGACGGACUGGAAUCAGGCAAACCUGGGGUCUGAAGUCAACUUCAUGCACAAAUUAAUUUAGUGCCUACGUGCACAAAUCACACCUAUAUGACACCUUUCUGAUAUCGCUUCUGGGACUUCUUUUAUGUCUGAA